GAUGAACGCUGGCGGCGUGCCUAAUACAUGCAAGUCGAGCGAACAGACGAGGAGCUUGCUCCUCUAACGUUAGCGGCGGACGGGUGAGUAACACGUGGAUAACCUACCUAUAAGACUGGGAUAACUUCGGGAAACCGGAGCUAAUACCGGAUAAUAUAUUGAACCGCAUGGUUCAAUAGUGAAAGACGGUUUUGCUGUCACUUAUAGAUGGAUCCGCGCCGCAUUAGCUAGUUGGUAAGGUAACAGCUUACCAAGGCAACGAUGCGUAGCCGACCUGAGAGGGUGAUCGGCCACACUGGAACUGAGACACGGUCCAGACUCCUACGGGAGGCAGCAGUAGGGAAUCUUUCGCAAUGGGUGAAAGCCUGACGGAGCAACGCCGCGUGAGUGAUGAAGGUCUUCGGAUCGUAAAACUCUGUUAUUAGGGAAGAACAAAUGUGUAAGUAACUAUGCACGUCUUGACGGUACCUAAUCAGAAAGCCACGGCUAACUACGUGCCAGCCGCCGCCGUAA
Molecule: ribosomal RNA, 513 nt
Filed under: uncultured bacterium
Lineage: Bacteria
Description: partial 16S ribosomal RNA
Rfam family: Bacterial small subunit ribosomal RNA
Source: RNAcentral